AGGAACCGCGCUUUCAAAUAAUAUGUCAAAUACCAAAGUCGAUUCUGUACAGGAUCACACUGUUUGUAACAACAACUGCUUUGAACAGCAUAUUUGUGAAGAGUAAAGAGUUUUAUUUGCAAGAUCUAAACCGUUUAUAAUAUGGAAUGACGGAAUUUGUAAAGAAAUACGAACACUCACAAGUAAGAUUGAAAGAUUGACAAUCGGAAACUGCGUACAUUACUUCAUGUCAUAGUAAUGUCGGACUAAAUUUUUUUUAUUAAUAAAAUUGUUUUUAAAUAGGUUUUAACUUGUUGACGGAACUAUUGUAUUGACUAAAUCAGUAAAUAAUUAUUUGG
This is a long non-coding RNA of Caenorhabditis elegans, 338 nucleotides long. Ensembl annotates it as ncRNA. Its record names the gene linc-15. The record is from Ensembl. NCBI's taxonomy places the organism in Eukaryota, Metazoa, Nematoda, Chromadorea, Rhabditida, Rhabditidae.